This 390-nucleotide ribosomal RNA is filed under the name uncultured bacterium. RNAcentral describes it as "bacterial SSU rRNA". It matches the Rfam family "Bacterial small subunit ribosomal RNA", at positions 30 to 420 of the family's 1533-position model. The record is from RNAcentral.
AUUGAACGCUGGCGGCAUGCCUUACACAUGCAAGUCGAACGGCAGCACGGGAGCAAUCCUGGUGGCGAGUGGCGAACGGGUGAGUAAUAUAUCGGAACGUGCCCAGUCGUGGGGGAUAACGUAGCGAAAGCUACGCUAAUACCGCAUACGAUCUAUGGAUGAAAGCGGGGGAUCGCAAGACCUCGCGCGAUUGGAGCGGCCGAUAUCAGAUUAGGUAGUUGGUGAGGUAAGGCUCACCAAGCCGACGAUCUGUAGCUGGUCUGAGAGGACGACCAGCCACACUGGGACUGAGACACGGCCCAGACUCCUACGGGAGGCAGCAGUGGGGAAUUUUUGGACAAUGGGCGCAAGCCUGAUCCAGCAAUGCCGCGUGCAGGAUGAAGGCCUCGG